AGCAGUAUGGUGUAUUGUGCACCCUGGGUUCUCUUAGCUGGAAUCGAGUCAGGAUUAUCCCCGAGGUCCUCGUUCGAAUCGAGGUGCUGCUG
This is a non-coding RNA of Mycena vulgaris, 92 nucleotides long. Lineage: Eukaryota; Fungi; Basidiomycota; Agaricomycetes; Agaricales; Mycenaceae. The record is from the annotation of a GenBank genome assembly.